CCGUCCCGGCGAGCACCUGCCGCCGCGCACCCGCCACUGCCUGCGCCAGCGAGCACGCCCCCUCCGCGCGAUGCGCUGCUUAUCGGACGCCGACUGUUCGCGGAGCGGCCCCUGCUGAGACGCCACCCCCGCCGAGACGCCGCCCCCGCGCCCAGUCGCGUGUCGCCCGCGCCCGGCGCGUGCCACGCACCCCGCCGCCAGCGUCUGUGACGUGCGACUGUGACUGUGCGCGUGUGUGACGUGCCGUUGCGUUCCGUUCCGUUCUGUGCUUGUGUUUGGAGGCUCGCCUCUGCCGUCUCCUCUCUUUCUGUGGAUACGCCGGAAGGUGCGGAACGGCGACUGCAUACUCCACGUGACAGCUAUGUCUGGAGAACCCGAGGAUACGAAAGAGCAAACCCAAAGGAAUGAUACAGAUAUAGGCCUCCAAGAUGUGCACCUCUCUGAUCCGAACGAGACUGUGUACAUGAUCUGUGGUGUGCUAAUUGCCAUGGUCCUGGUGGCACUCAUCAUCGUGCUGCUAGCUCUGACCAUCAG
This is a long non-coding RNA of Schistocerca americana (American grasshopper), 534 nucleotides long. RefSeq lists it as uncharacterized. The record is from RefSeq and is a predicted model, not a curated record. NCBI's taxonomy places the organism in Eukaryota, Metazoa, Arthropoda, Insecta, Orthoptera, Acrididae. The transcript has 4 exons.